Molecule: ribosomal RNA, 425 nt
Filed under: uncultured bacterium
Lineage: Bacteria
Description: partial 16S ribosomal RNA
Rfam family: Bacterial small subunit ribosomal RNA
Source: RNAcentral
GUGGGGAAUCUUGCGCAAUGGGCGAAAGCCUGACGCAGCCAUGCCGCGUGAAUGAUGAAGGUCUUAGGAUUGUAAAAUUCUUUCACCGGGGACGAUAAUGACGGUACCCGGAGAAGAAGCUCCGGCUAACUUCGUGCCAGCAGCCGCGGUAAUACGAAGGGGGCUAGCGUUGCUCGGAAUUACUGGGCGUAAAGGGCGCGUAGGCGGACAGCGUAGUCAGAGGUGAAAGCCCAGGGCUCAACCUUGGAAUUGCCUUUGAUACUGGCUGUCUUGAGUUUGGGAGAGGUGAGUGGAACUCCGAGUGUAGAGGUGAAAUUCGUAGAUAUUCGGAAGAACACCAGUGGCGAAGGCGACUCACUGGCCCAAUACUGACGCUGAGGCGCGAAAGCGUGGGGAGCAAACAGGAUUAGAAACCCGAGUAGUCC